GGAUGAGCCCGCGGCCUAUCAGCUUGUUGGUGGGGUAGUGGCCUACCAAGGCGACGACGGGUAGCCGGCCUGAGAGGGUGACCGGCCACACUGGGACUGAGACACGGCCCAGACUCCUACGGGAGGCAGCAGUGGGGAAUAUUGGACAAUGGGCGGAAGCCUGAUCCAGCAACGCCGCGUGAGGGAUGACGGCCUUCGGGUUGUAAACCUCUUUCAGUACCGACGAAGCGCAAGUGACGGUAGGUACAGAAGAAGCACCGGCCAACUACGUGACAGCAGCCGCGGCCG
This 288-nucleotide ribosomal RNA is filed under the name uncultured Nocardioidaceae bacterium. RNAcentral's name for it is "partial 16S ribosomal RNA". It matches the Rfam family "Bacterial small subunit ribosomal RNA", at positions 223 to 523 of the family's 1533-position model. Lineage: Bacteria; Bacillati; Actinomycetota; Actinomycetes; Propionibacteriales; Nocardioidaceae. The record is from RNAcentral.